CUAAUACCAAGGCGGCUCUUUAGUGCGCCACAAAGUUAUCUGAUAUUCCAAAUGGAAUUACUAAAAUAUCUCGUGAAGAAGAAAAGAUGAAAACAUAUUUAAGGCCAAUCAGGCAGCCAAAGAAAUUAUGAGAAUUUUAUGCUGAUUUUUGGGGUGACAUGUACAUAGGCUCAUCCUCAUGGAGUUGAGCAGAGUCUGAACGGACCGCUUCGUGAAUAGAGUGAAAAAGAGGCUGUAAUAAAGAAAAUAUGAUUUGAUAAAUGUUAUGACCAAUUAAUAAUUGUUAACUAAGGCAGGCGAUAAAAAUCUCGAGGGAUACUAAUAGAAAAUAUUUUAUUGAAACCAACAAAAAAAAAAA
This is a long non-coding RNA of Ceratitis capitata (Mediterranean fruit fly), 358 nucleotides long. RefSeq lists it as uncharacterized. Lineage: Eukaryota; Metazoa; Arthropoda; Insecta; Diptera; Tephritidae. The record is from RefSeq and is a predicted model, not a curated record. The transcript has 2 exons.